ACGAACGCUGGCGGCGUGCUUAACACAUGCAAGUCGAACGGAAAGGCCCUGCUUUUGUGGGGUGCUCGAGUGGCGAACGGGUGAGUAACACGUGAGUAACCUGCCCUUGACUUUGGGAUAACUUCAGGAAACUGGGGCUAAUACCGGAUAGGAGCUCCUGCUGCAUGGUGGGGGUUGGAAAAUUUCGGCGGUUGGGGAUGGACUCGCGGCUUAUCAGCUUGUUGGUGGGGUAGUGGCUUACCAAGGCUUUGACGGGUAGCCGGCCUGAGAGGGUGACCGGCCACAUUGGGACUGAGAUACGGCCCAGACUCCUACGGGAGGCAGCAGUGGGGAAUAUUGCACAAUGGGCGGAAGCCUGAUGCAGCAACGCCGCGUGCGGGAUGACGGCCUUCGGGUUGUAAACCGCUUUCGCCUGUGACGAAGCGUGAGUGACGGUAAUGGGUAAAGAAGCACCGGCUAACUACGUG
RNAcentral lists this ribosomal RNA (467 nucleotides) under uncultured bacterium. Its description in RNAcentral is "partial 16S ribosomal RNA". It matches the Rfam family "Bacterial small subunit ribosomal RNA", at positions 29 to 507 of the family's 1533-position model. The record is from RNAcentral.